Molecule: ribosomal RNA, 353 nt
Filed under: uncultured Coriobacteriales bacterium
Lineage: Bacteria; Bacillati; Actinomycetota; Coriobacteriia; Coriobacteriales
Description: partial 16S ribosomal RNA
Source: RNAcentral
GGAGUCUGGACCGUAUCUCAGUUCCAAUGUGGCCGAUCACCCUCUCAGGUCGGCUACCCAUCGUCGACUUGGUGAGCCGUUACCUCACCAACUAUCUAAUGGGACGCGAGCCCACCUUCUACCGGAUUUCUCCUUUGACCUCAAAACCAUGCGGCUCCGUGGUCUUAUGCGGUAUUAGCACUCCUUUCGGAGCGUUAUCCCCCUGUAAAAGACAGGUUGCUCACGCGUUACUCACCCGUCCGCCACUCGGUUAUUUCAAAUCCAUCCGAAGAUCUCAUCAAAAUAACCUCGUUCGACUUGCAUGUGUUAAGCACGCCGCCAGCGUUCGUCCUCGAGCCACUGAUCAAACUACU